This 1124-nucleotide long non-coding RNA is filed under the name Sinocyclocheilus grahami. RNAcentral describes it as "lncRNA (ENSSGRG00000019317.1)". The record is from RNAcentral. Lineage: Eukaryota; Metazoa; Chordata; Actinopteri; Cypriniformes; Cyprinidae.
AAUGCAAUUUAACCUUUCUUUCUUUCUCUCUUUUUUAUAUUUUUGUUACAGAGAAUGGAGUAAACCGGUUCGUUUUCAUCAGUAAUAUCACGGCCUGGAAGGAUGCUCAGAGCUACUGCAGACAGUAUUACACAGACCUUGUCGUCAUUCAGAAUCAAACUGAGAAUAACCAGCUGAGUGUGCUGAUGAAACCAUAUACAAAUGCUUGGAUUGGACUCUUCAGAGACGUGUGGAAAUGGUCAGAUGAAACAAAUGUCUCCACUUCCUCCUUUACUAGACUACCUUUACAAUCUGGGCUGCGUAGUCCUUGUGGUGUUUCAGAUCCUGGUGGUAUAAUCAGUUACCAGAUCUGCUCAAACGUUCUCCCUUUCCUCUGCAUGCACCGUGCAAAGAAACAGAUUGUAAGACUGAGGGUCAAAUCUGGUCAGAAUCUUAAUGAUCCUGCAGUGAUGACUGUUAUCUUACAGUGGAUAAAACAGAAGCUGAAGGAAUGGGGUAUAGAAAAGGAAACAAAUGUGACAUGGAGAGUUCAGGCAAAUGGAUAUGUUUUCAUGAGUUACACAUUUUUAAGUUUCAGCGGAAGCAGUGGUGGUCCUGGCUCACUUUGAAUCCAGCUGUGUGCUCAAAAGUGUCAACACCGUGGCAGGACAUAUAAAAGGAGUAAUUCUGUGCCGGUUGUGAAGAUCAGCAGUACAUGUAAAAUGUGUUCAUAUGAUUGAUAUAUUGUAAACUCCCUUAAAACAGUUAAAUGCAACUUAUUAUUUAAUUUGAGGUGUAUUUUAGCACAGCUGUGAUUUCAUAGUAGGGGUAGUAGUAGGGGAUGUAAUUCCGUUUCUUAGUAAAAAAAAUUCAUCUUUUAUUGUAAAAUGACUAGUACAGUGAAAGAUAAUUUUCUUUAUACCAUUCCAUAAAUAAAAUCUUUACAGCAAUCUUAAUACCAAGUCUUUUUGUACACAUGCAGACCUAAAUUGGGCAAAUUCAGAAUUUAGGCCUCUCUUCAAUUAAUGAGUGUGAAUUAGAGCUGAACUGACACACAGGAUGCUGAAUUGUAUAAUAUUCUGGAAAAUUGUGUUCUCUUAAAAGUAAAAGAAAUAUGAAGAAAUUAAUUACACACACAGGCCUUC